CCAAUAGCGUAUCUUAAAGUUGUUGCAGUUAAAAAGCUCGUAGUUGAACUUCGAGAUUCGUCCAUUGGUCAGGCUUAACUGUCUGUACUGAUGUUUCGGAUUUCUACCUUCUGAAGAACCUUCAUGUCAUUAAUUUGGUGUGUUGGGGAAUCAGGACUGUUACUUUGAAAAAAUUAGAGUUUUUAAAGCAUGCUAACGUCUGAAUACAUUAGCAUGGAAUAAUGAAAUAGGACGGUACGGUUCUAUUUUGUUGGUUUCUAGGAUCGCCGUAAUGAUUAAUAGGGAUAGUUGGGGGCAUUAGUAUUCAAUUGUCAGAGGUGAAAUUCUUGGAUUUAUUGAAGACUAACUACUGCGAAAGCAUUUGCCAAGGAUGUUUUCAUUAAUCAAGAACGAAAGUUAAGGGAUCGAAGACGAUCAGAUACCGUCGUAGUCUUAACCAUAAACUAUGCCGACUAGGGAUUGGACGAUGUUAAUUUUUAAAUGACUCGUUCAGCACCUUACG
RNAcentral lists this ribosomal RNA (502 nucleotides) under uncultured Glomeromycotina. RNAcentral describes it as "partial small subunit ribosomal RNA". It matches the Rfam family "Eukaryotic small subunit ribosomal RNA", at positions 591 to 1092 of the family's 1831-position model. Lineage: Eukaryota; Fungi; Glomeromycota. The record is from RNAcentral.